This 1168-nucleotide long non-coding RNA is filed under the name Oryctolagus cuniculus (rabbit). RNAcentral's name for it is "lncRNA (ENSOCUG00000036899.1)". The record is from RNAcentral. Lineage: Eukaryota; Metazoa; Chordata; Mammalia; Lagomorpha; Leporidae.
UUUAAAGUAAGAUUAUCCCAGAGUGAUUUUACACUAAAAGAGUUACUAUCCUGUCAAAAGCCUUCUCAUCCUACAUCUAUUUAUAGUUUCCCUAAUACAAAAACAUCUAGUGAACUAGCAGGUUUUCUGAAUUACCUUGAAUCAAAGAACGCUAUUUCUGGAAAGAACUUGAAGGUCACUCAGAUCAGGGAACUGAGCAGGAAUAACAUCUGUCACUGGUCCAGAUCACGUAACUAUUUGGUUGCAAAGUUUGAUCUUAGAUUUAAAAGCUUAGCUUUAGACCUGUUUCUCUAUUAUCAUUACCUGAGGUGGCAGUAUUAUUUAACUGCUCUUCAUAUUCAAAUUCAUUCUUUAAAUAUUGGUAAAGAACCACUCUUAGAACAUCAUCUUCCAACCAAUAACAACCCUCGUUGCUUAUUAAGUACACAGUCCUUUGCCUGGCAUCCUAGACCAACCAUGAUCUGGGCCAACUAGGCCUUUUAAUGGCAUUUCACCCUACUCUCCUUCUGCCUUUUUUUGAGAAACAAACUGUCCUCCUGGCUAACUCCCAAACACAUAUUGGGCAUUUAUAUCUUCCCUCAAGCUGUUCUAUUUGCCUAAAAUAUUCUCCACAUUCAGUUUCUGUCAAAUAUCUACUGACAUUCAAAUGUUUCCUCCUCUAUGAAAUUUAAAAAAAAUUCUCAACCUAUGUUCUUCCUUUCUUUACCACCUUUAACACUUUUCAUCUCUCAUUGGAAUUACCAUGAUCUGCCAGGCAUUUUAGCUAUUUGAAUAUUAUUUUCUAUUUAAGGACUAAUAUGCACAAUUCUAGCUUUACUAUACUUUACAUGUGCAAGGUGUACAGUAAAAAAUUUGAAGAUAGAUACACAAAGAAUCUAGCAGCAAUUCUGUGAGUAAAAAUCAGAAGAAAAGACAAAGCUUUCCACUCUGCUCAGCUGAGAAGCUCUGAGCACUUCUCACCCUCACUUCAGGGUUCCUUUUAGCGUUAUAAUUGACAUUCAUUGCCAGUGUUUCAAUUUUAAAGGGAACAGAGCCUAGUGACAUCAUUCCUCUUCUUCCUAUUGCCCUCCGUGAAAGUUUCAUUUAUCUUUGUCAUCUAACCUAUGCUGUCACCAUUAAAUCUGGAGUCCUCAUGAAUAAAAAUCAGAGCAGGUCUUCUACUUGUACA